UACGUAGGGGGCAAGCGUUGUCCGGAAUCAUUGGGCGUAAAGCGCGUGUAGGCGGCCCGAUAAGUCCGCUGUGAAAGUCCAGGGCUCAACCCUGGGAUGCCGGUGGAUACUGUCGGGCUCGAGUCCGGAAGAGGCGAGUGGAAUUCCUGGUGUAGCGGUGAAAUGCGCAGAUAUCAGGAGGAACACCAGUGGCGAAGGCGACUGUCUGGACAGAUACUGACGCUGAGGCGCGAAAGCGUGGGGAGCAAACAGG
Molecule: ribosomal RNA, 253 nt
Filed under: uncultured bacterium
Lineage: Bacteria
Description: partial 16S ribosomal RNA
Rfam family: Bacterial small subunit ribosomal RNA
Source: RNAcentral